Cryptomeria japonica (Japanese cedar) is the source of this 1808-nucleotide long non-coding RNA. RefSeq lists it as uncharacterized. The transcript is spliced from 2 exons. Lineage: Eukaryota; Viridiplantae; Streptophyta; Pinopsida; Cupressales; Cupressaceae. The record is from RefSeq and is a predicted model, not a curated record.
CCUCACAGACACUGUUUUUUUGGAAAAUGAUAUUAGGGUUGCGAUAUGGAACCUAGAUGCAGCUAGGUAACCCACUUUUCCCUUCCUCUCUCUCCUUUUUUUAUAUAUACACCCCUUCCAUAUCUUUCUCUACAGAAAUGCCAUGCGCACCAUUGCAGCUCAUUCUCUAGCUUCAUAACGUAAAUCCCCACGAGGGGGCGAUCGAAACAGAUGGCUCUUUCACUAUGCACGAUUCUUUUGCAUGUUAACGUUGAUCCCCAUGAGGAGGCGAUCGUUACAGAUGGCUCUUUCAUUAUGCUAUUUAUGAUUCUUGACUUUCUUUCUGCUUCACUUGGUAGACCCACGGAGGUCACAGUGGAUUUGUGUGCUCUCAUUCUUAUUCUUACUUUCUUUUUGUUACUGUGUUGUUCUGUUAUCAAAUUUUGUUAAGUUGGUAUUUGUUUCUGUAUGCUGGCAUAUGCAUGAUGUUGAGAGAUUUUCAAUCCAUAGCUUUAGUAUCAGUUUUUCUGAGUGGCUAACAGUGGUUAUUAAUAGUAUUGUACUCUUUUGAUGGUAAGGGUUUCUUUUGAUUGCUAACAAUAAAUUUUGAUAUGAUAUGGGUUUCUUUUGAUUACUAACAAUAAAUAUUGAUAGUAUGGGUUUCUUUUGAUGGCUUACACUGGACUGGCGUUUUAAUGCUCUGGUAUGUUUUUUAGAUGUUAAGUGAGUCAAUGAUUUGGAUGUUUCAUAGAGUUAGUGUUGAUGUUUUAAAUGUGUUAGAACUAUCUUGUAUUGAAUAUUAUUCUGGUAAUUAAAAACUCUGAGUUUUUUCUUUAAUCAGACUCGGACCAUUAUAUCCACAGCACUCACUUAUCCUCGGUACAUUCCACUUCAUUUUAGGAUAUAUUUCUUCCGACUUUAAAUAAAUAGAAGAGAUUAUAGUUUCUAUGAGAUGAUGGGCAUAGAGAAUUUAGUUUUGGACUGUCUUUAUUUGAUUUUGUUGUAUCUGAACCAAAAUGGGUAGAUAGGAAUAUUGUUUCUGUUAUGUUGGUUGUAGACAAUUCAAUCUUGGGCUAUAUUACAGUUUUUUUUGGGUAUUUCGGGCAAAUGGGUAUGCAUAAUUACUGUUCCGUUGAUUGCAGGAAAGUCAUCAUUGAGCUGUCAGGUUGUCUUUUUUGGUUUUUUUUUUUUAAUUUAUGACAAAUGAGUAAUAUAAUUACUGUUUCUUUUAUGUCCGUGAGAAUUAAGUUUUGGGCGGUCUUGAGAUGUUGGAGCGGUUCAACCAGACAACUUUAUUAUGACAUAUCAUAAUUUUGCUGUCUGUUUGAGCCGUGCCAAUAUCGCACUAGACGUGCUCCACUCAUGGUCGCCGUUUAACUAGCCUGUUACAAUUUAUUCUCUUCUCUUUUCAUUUGUUUCUGAUUAAUGGAGGAAUCGAUAAGCACUGGACUGCACUGCAUAUUCAUUGCAGAUUCAGUGCUUGCAAUAAUGGAUAUGGCAUCUUCUACAAGGGUUUUAGGGUUGGGGAAUUGAUAGCAGAAGAAGAAAGGUGGGGCAGGGGAGUAAAGGGAGACAGGUGGAGCAUUUAAGAAGUGGUGUCGGGAGCCAGAGGGUGCCUUUAUUGCUUUCACGCGCUACCCAUCUCCAUGGAAAGACUCGCUACCAACCACUCAGACCUCUGCUUCAAAAGCAUGUUUUGAAUCAUCUAUAUUUCUCUACGCUCUUAGCAUCAAUUAAUUCCUCAUUUAUUGUUGGAAUUUAUUUGAUGAGAUCAAUUUUACAUGUACGCAAAUUGUUGUAUUUAAUGGUAUUUGAACGACUUUUUUACA